AAUAUUAGUUAAGGUCUUUAAACCCAAAGAAUUUGGCGGUAUUUCAUUCCAUUCAGAGGAACCUAUCCCGUAAUUGAUAGUACACGAUUAACUUUACUUGAUUUAUUUGUUUGUAUAUCUCCGUUAUCAGAAAAUCUUUUUGGAGUUAUAAUUUUCUUGUUUUUCCAUUAGAAAUUAUUUCAGGUCAAGGUGCAGCUUAUAGUCAAGUGUGUGAUGGGUUACAAUAAAUUUUUUUAUUAUGGAUUUAAUUUUGAAAUUUUUAAUGAAGGUGGAUUUGAUGGUAAUUUAAUUUAUUUAAUUUAAUUGAUAUUGGCUCUGAAAUGUGU
Molecule: ribosomal RNA, 326 nt
Filed under: Sphingonotus fuscoirroratus
Lineage: Eukaryota; Metazoa; Arthropoda; Insecta; Orthoptera; Acrididae
Description: partial 12S ribosomal RNA
Source: RNAcentral